Long non-coding RNA from Dendronephthya gigantea, 1354 nucleotides. RefSeq lists it as uncharacterized. Lineage: Eukaryota; Metazoa; Cnidaria; Anthozoa; Malacalcyonacea; Nephtheidae. The record is from RefSeq and is a predicted model, not a curated record. The transcript has 5 exons.
AGACUUUAUUAUACAGAACGAACUACGGCGCUGAAAGAUGGGGAAGGCGAAACACAAUACUGAUAGAAUAAAUGAAUCGUCGGAGUCAAGAGAUGUCGGAGCUUCCUUGGGCGACAUUUAUGCACGCAAAUACAAAACUCAAUUUGAUUUCGUUGAAAAUAUGCAUGAGUAAAAUUGCAUGAGAUUUGGCUUUUUUGGCUGAGAUAUGCUGAACACUCUUCUGUUUACCUUCUUGGUUUUCAGCUUUUCGGCUUGUGGUUUUUGCAUGGGUUAACCUGGUCGUGUAAAGCGCAUGCGGAGGAAAUACAAGUGAUUCUGGGGCCCCAUCACUUGUAUUUUCUCCAACUUGAACGACAAUAGUCCGGAACAAAAAUAUCGCUCACAGAGCGCCUAAAACAUCAAAAUGCAUGAGAAAUUGUAUUUCUAAAAGGAGAUAAUAGUCGAGUGUUUUAGUUUUCUCAGGAUCAUUAAAAAGAUUAAUAUUUAUUGCAAAACGUGCAUGACAUUUUGUAUUCGCGUGCGCAAUGCGAAGGCUUGGACGAGUGGAGUAGGAGAUGUAGAAGGAUCGUCGCAGGAUCAGAUGUUGAAGGAUCAUCGCAGGAUCAGAUGUUGAAAGAUUAUCGCAGGACCAAGGACAUGAAGAUGCUGAGGGAUCGUCGCAGGAUCAGACGUGGAAGGACUUGAAGAUGUAGAUGGACCCGAUGACAGAUGUCGAGGGAUCGUCGCAGGAUCAGAUGAUGGACGACGAGACGGGUGUACAAGUGGAAGCUGGUUGAGGUACAUACUAUAGGUAUACUAAUUAGAGUAAUGCAUGGUUAAUGUAAGUGUUCUGGUGGUCUAACCUAGUAAAAUUCACACAUCAAGUGACAUUUUCACUCUUUUCGACAAUGCAUGAUAACAGAAAAUUUCUCACAGCUUUUAUGAAGGCGUUUUCGAGGUUUCUCGACGAAACAUUCUUGUCACUUGCGUGUGAAUUUCAACGACUUAAGGUGGUCUUAUCCGUAGUACAAAAAUAUUUUCUUUUAUUUCGUAAAAUAUGAAAAAAGUUAUUAAAUAUGAAUAUUUUUUGUACAAGACCACCUAAACGGCUGCGGAAGAUGCAUGAUGGCUUUAAAACGUCGAAAUGAAAGUAACAAAAUGCAACAGCGCAUGCAUGGUCGACGCGCGCGCAGCGAGAAAAUAAUGUGGAAUUCGUAUUGGCCUAAUUUUUAGUUUAAUACGAAUGUAAUCGCGAGUACUUAUAUGAUUUUAUAAGUUCUCUGUGCAGCCUGCUAUAAGGCAAGCGUUUCGGAGGAUCGUCCGUCAAUGGCAUCAAAAAUUAUAUUUUUCGAAUUGAUGAAGUUUAAAAUGAAAA